Xiphophorus hellerii (green swordtail) is the source of this 1227-nucleotide long non-coding RNA. RefSeq lists it as uncharacterized. The transcript has 2 exons. The record is from RefSeq and is a predicted model, not a curated record. NCBI's taxonomy places the organism in Eukaryota, Metazoa, Chordata, Actinopteri, Cyprinodontiformes, Poeciliidae.
CUGAUGGCUCAUCCCCAGAGGCAACAUCAGCUGUACUACGGCAGUACUACAGCAGCUACACAGCAGUACUAUAGCAGCUAGGAAACUCCGGAUCCUGUCGGCAGGUCCUGGUGGACCGGGACCUGUCCCGGACCGUCCUCGCUUCGGUCCAAACGCCGGUCCGGAACCAAAACAAGAGGCCAGCUAGCAGCUAGGCUAACAGCUCCUACCUUCUCGGUGAUCGGGGCUUCAGGCGGCGGACAGACUCAACCAGCCGGGGAACGGGCCGUCAGAGCCGGUUCGGGGAGUUCAUGAAUCCGGUUCGGACGGGAUAAACGGGGUUCAACAAAGUCCCGAAAAAUUCUACCGAACCCGCCUGGUUGAGGAGCCGCAGCGGCUGCUGUGCUCCGCCAUCUUGUUUCUGUGUGUGAGGGGACGGGGGGGGUUACUAUAGCAGUGAGGACCGGCUGCGUCCUGCCGGUCCGCACUGCUGCCGUAGGACCUGUGCGUGUUGCUGACCUUUCUGUGAUAAAAUGGACCUGGUUCCGACCGGUAGCAGAAUCGAACCAGCGUUGCUGUGUGGUGGGAUUCAUAUUCUGAGCAGAUUAUAAUCUGCAGGAACAGAACUACAUCCGGCCUCCUUCCCCACACAGACUCAGAUACUCCUCCAGAAAUAAACCCUGUUCAUUAAUAAAUGUGACCUCUGACCUCUUGCUGAUGAUGGCGACAGCUCUUGGGUUCUUUCCAGGAUGACAUGACCUCUGACCCUGCAUCACCUUCUGCUCUCAGGUUCCUUCUACUGCUGUCAUUUAGAAAUCAGUAGUGGUUCUAACUUAUUAAGUAGAUACUUUCUGGUUCCUUCCAGAACUUUUUGUUAUGAUCUUGCUGCGGUUUGGACCAGAACCGGGCCAGCUGCUUGUGCCCUACAUGACUCUAGUCUCUGUCAACUUGUUUUGUGUGGAAAAGCAUUUUACUCUUAAAGUGAAACCUCAUGUCUGAAUGAGAGUAAAGGUGAAAUAAAUAAAAUCUGGAGCUUUAUUGAUAAAUUAAUAUAAUAAUAUGGAGUGAAAAUAGUCUCAAAAUACCUGUGUGUGUGUAAUUCUGGAUUUAUAAUCCAUAAGUAACUUUGGAUGGUUGUAUCUGUGAAACAUGAUUUGUAAACCCUAAAAAAAAUUGUGCGUAACUCUGUUUACUUGUAAAUAUGUGGUAAAAUGCACAAAUAUAAAAAAUUACGAAUACAAAAUAAAA